Molecule: ribosomal RNA, 372 nt
Filed under: uncultured bacterium
Lineage: Bacteria
Description: bacterial SSU rRNA
Rfam family: Bacterial small subunit ribosomal RNA
Source: RNAcentral
UACGUAGGGUGCGAGCGUUAAUCGGAAUUACUGGGCGUAAAGCGUGCGCAGGCGGUUGUGCAAGACAGAUGUGAAAUCCCCGGGCUCAACCUGGGAACUGCAUUUGUGACUGCACGACUGGAGUGCGGCAGAGGGGGAUGGAAUUCCGCGUGUAGCAGUGAAAUGCGUAGAUAUGCGGAGGAACACCGAUGGCGAAGGCAAUCCCCUGGGCCUGCACUGACGCUCAUGCACGAAAGCGUGGGGAGCAAACAGGAUUAGAUACCCUGGUAGUCCACGCCCUAAACGAUGUCAACUGGUUGUUGGGAGGGUUUCUUCUCAGUAACGUAGCUAACGCGUGAAGUUGACCGCCUGGGGAGUACGGCCGCAAGGUUG